Molecule: long non-coding RNA, 845 nt
Organism: Lutzomyia longipalpis
Lineage: Eukaryota; Metazoa; Arthropoda; Insecta; Diptera; Psychodidae
Exons: 2
Source: RefSeq, a predicted model, not a curated record
AGAAGCUCCACGCAGAAUGACCCGACACGCUGGCUUGUAUCCUCCCGUGGAAUAAGAUUCAAAGCACUUUAUUUAAUACUUGAAAGAAACUCGUAAAAGUGAAAAAUAGACACAGGAACCUGUACGAAGGCCCAUUGAGACUAUUUGGCGGUGUAACGGGUACCGAAAGAUUAUUUUGUUGCAACUGAUUCUGCUCCUGCUGCAAACUUGGAAAAUUCCUCGCAACAUCCCGCAGUGGUUCCCCAUUGAAACCCAAACCAAUCCCAAGACCCUCGAGACCUUCGGGCAAUUUGAUAGUCUCAUUCUUAUCCGGUAUACGAUCCAAGCGAACAGUCAUCUUACGACCAUACAACAUCUGGUGAUCCAACAUGGAAAUAGCCUGGACCGCUUCAACAGGAUGAUCGUAUUCGACAACAGCAAAACCACGACUGUUACCAUCUUCAUCUUUUGACAAAUCAACACUUACAACGCGACCAGCGAGCUUGAACACCUGCUCCAAUUUCUUCCCGUCAACCUUGUCGUCCAACUGCAAAAGAAAAGAUGGAAAAAGAGCAAAAUACAAAAUAGUAGCGAAAGGUUGUCUUUUUCUAUCUUUCUGUAUGAUACUGCUAAAUAUUCAAAGUCUCAUGUAAGGAAAUUGCAUAAGCAUCAAAUCUCUAUUAUUACGGAAAUUAAUUCCUGGCUUUGUAGUCUGGAUUCAGAGAAUUGAUAUGUUAAAACACACUAAACUAAACAUUUAAAAAACAUCUAACACCAAUUUUUUAAUCAACUGUUGUCAAACAGGAUAUUGUCAUUCAAAACUCUCAAUCCUAUCGAGAACUGAAAGCAUCCAAAUUAAAAAUAAA